Molecule: ribosomal RNA, 484 nt
Filed under: uncultured bacterium
Lineage: Bacteria
Description: bacterial SSU rRNA
Rfam family: Bacterial small subunit ribosomal RNA
Source: RNAcentral
UUCUGGCUCAGGAUGAACGCUGGCGGCGUGCUUCAUACAUGCAAGUCGAACGAGAAUUUGGAGCUUGCUCCAAAGGAAAGUGGCGGACGGGUGAGUAAUACAUAGGGAAUCUGCCCUUAGCUGGGGGACAACAGUUGGAAACGACUGCUAAUACCGCAUAUGAGCUAACCUGAAAUGGUUAUCUUGAAAACUCCGGUGGCUAAGGAUGAGCCUGUGCCUGAUUAGCUUGUUGGCGGGGUAAUGGCCCACCAAGGCGACGAUCGGUAGCUGGUUUGAGAGGAUGAUCAGCCACAAUGGGACUGAGACACGGCCCAUACUCCUACGGGAGGCAGCAGUAGGGAAUUUUGCGCAAUGGGCGAAAGCCUGAACCGCAGCAACGCCGCGUGUGUGAUGAAGCCCCUAGGGGUGUAAAACACUGUCAGUAGGGACGAAUUUUGACGGUACCUACAGAGGAAGCACCGGCUAACUCCGUGCCAGCCGCCGC